Non-coding RNA from Acanthosepion pharaonis, 97 nucleotides. The record is from the annotation of a GenBank genome assembly. Lineage: Eukaryota; Metazoa; Mollusca; Cephalopoda; Sepiida; Sepiidae.
GUUGAAACACCAAUUUCCAUACGAUCCUUGAAAUUAAGCAACAUUGAGCCUGGUCAGUACCUAGAUGGGUGACCCCUUGGGAAUACUAGGUGCUAUA